Molecule: long non-coding RNA, 2274 nt
Organism: Schistocerca nitens (vagrant locust)
Lineage: Eukaryota; Metazoa; Arthropoda; Insecta; Orthoptera; Acrididae
Exons: 6
Source: RefSeq, a predicted model, not a curated record
CUCUGGCAGUUAUCGUUAUUGGCUCGUAGUUCUAGUUCUCUGGCAGUUAUCGGGCUACCACCACAGGUAACCUGGAAGCUGGUAACGGAAUAACUGUGUGUGUAGACGUUCCUGACUCGGUGACUCCAGUUAAAGGUCGUAGUUCCAGGUGAUAUUUCCAGAGAGGAUAGUAACUGGAGCGAACAAAUAUUUUCGUACUGCUAUGGAAACUACAGUGGGCCAUCGGGGAGAGGGGAUGGCAAAUAACGGGAAUCUUAUCAUCUCAUUUCUUUGUGCGGUAAGAAGUUAUCGUACAAAUCGACGACGACGAAUUUAAAGAAACAUCUUCAGAAAUCACAUUUAAUUGUGAAUUUCUCUUCACAGAUACCUUCGGAGCUAGAUUUGGGUGAAACCCUUCCUGUAGAGGUGAUCCUUGGCACCAGUAGUGUGGAAGAGGAGCGAGAGGCACACCAACACCAGCAGAUGAGUCUCCGUUUAAUACUUGGGAUAUUAUAACAGUAAGUUAUAGCUCCAGAAGUCAGUCACCAGCAGCAGAUGUCACACAGUUAUAAAAUGGGAAACUUGAAGAAUAAGCUCCAGAAGUCAGCAGCAGCAGCAGUCACACAGCCAUAAUGCGAGAAGCUUGAAGAAUAAUGUGUUAUGGCUCCGAUAGUCUUCCAGCAGCAGCAAAUGUUACACAGUCCUAUAGAGGCAAACUUGAAGUAUAAAGUAAUAGUGUUUUACAUACAAUGGCAAACUUGACCUUUCGCUUAAAAUGGAGAACUUAAUUUCAGUAUCGGCUUUGAAAUUUGGUCACUGGAUACAACUAUAUUAUCUUUCAUGUUGAUAGCAGCAAUCAUCAGAUUGCAAUCCAGUUAAGUACCUGUGAGGCAUGAGAUGUCAAAAAUACUUGUGGGUUAUUGGUAGCCUGUGUCAAGGCAUGUGGCACCUCAAAGUUUGUAAGUACAGUAGCAUUUUGUUUUCUGCUUUACUUAAAAAUUGGUAGCUGUAGCACCCAUUCUGACAUUCAAUUAUUUUGAAUUUCAAGUUUCUUAGAAUGAUACUGACAUCAGUUUAACACUAAUCCGUAUAUUAUUGUUAAUAUAUGCUGCUAUUUUCCUCAGAUGUUAACUGAAAUUGUUUUAUUGUUAUGAUAACAACACUUCAGCCUUUGCAAACUUGCAGUAUAGGUUACCUGCUGAGAAAUAUUUACUGGAAGAAAUGGUUUCUUGAAUAGGACCGAAAGGAAAACCACUGAAAAUGCCAAACGUGAAUUGGUGAAACAUCUUGUGCUCAAUACUAAAUUUCAUUUGCAAAACAUGGAAGUUUUCCUAUCUUUGUGGUGGAACACAACAAAUUCUCAUAAUUUUGCUAGUUUGUAUUCUAGAAAGGGUGCCAGAAAUGGAAGAGUAUAAUUUUUAUUAAAUCGGGCAUUAAAUGUAAGUAGGUUGGAGUACAGAAAGGGUGCAACUGGCCUUCCCCACUGUAGCCUGAUGUGCUCCAACAUGCAUUUGUACUGAUGUGCAGGUGGUUAUAACACUAGUACCAAACUGCAUGGUACCCACUUACUAAUGUGACCUACCCUUGCAUGAUCUUCUGCAGACAGCAAGAAAUCUGCUACUGCACUUACUACCUGUCCAACAGUUGUGGAGGAUUUUUUCCCCUUGGUGCUUGACAUGACAUGUUUUGCCCUCUGCCCUUAAAAUCGCAAUUCUUGUUACAUUUUUCAUCCAUUUUCUAUCUCCUGAUGGACCUGUAUUGAUUAAAAAACUAAUCACUGCAGAGGUGAUUGUAGAGCUUUUGCUAGUGGCAGUGUGGAGGGGCUCCACUCUUUAAAAAAUAAAAUUACAUUGUGGGACAUGGAAUUAUUAUUAGAUGCUUUCAUGGACAUUUUGUUUACUGAAAAAGUCAGUCAUUAUCUGAGGUAUUUAAAUGUUAACUUCAAAUCUAAAACUGCAUCAAAAGAUAAAUUUCAGUAAAUCUUUAACAAGUUUCAGUAUCUUGCUUCACAUGCUGGACCCUCCAACUAUAAAAAACAGUGUUUUGCAGAGAAUAGCUAUUCAGAUGUUAACAUCCCAGAAUUUGUGUAGAAGAUAUCCCUUACAUUGUUAGUUUCAUUGUGGUCACACUCUACAGUGUAGUGUUAUCAGCAUACAUAUAGAAGUUUGAAGAACAUAUUAAAUUAAUUGCUAGACAUGCCUUAAGUGAAUAUGUUUACUACUAAUAUGAGUCAGCUAAGUAGUUGCUCCAAGUUUUUAUGUUGUUUCUAAAGUGUCUUUAGACAAGGAUAUUUCU